GCCAGCAUCAUCAACCUGCAGCUUUCACCUGCACAUCCACUGAAGCUCAGCAGGGUUGAGUCUGGUCAGUACCUGGAUGCGAGACCUUCGAGGAAGACCAGGUUGCUGCUGGAA
RNAcentral lists this ribosomal RNA (114 nucleotides) under Sinocyclocheilus anshuiensis. Lineage: Eukaryota; Metazoa; Chordata; Actinopteri; Cypriniformes; Cyprinidae. The record is from RNAcentral.